RNAcentral lists this ribosomal RNA (165 nucleotides) under Oenococcus oeni. RNAcentral describes it as "partial 23S ribosomal RNA". It matches the Rfam family "Bacterial large subunit ribosomal RNA", at positions 1 to 169 of the family's 2925-position model. Lineage: Bacteria; Bacillati; Bacillota; Bacilli; Lactobacillales; Lactobacillaceae. The record is from RNAcentral.
GAUAGGUUAAGUUAAUAAGGGCGCAUGGUGGAUGCCUUGGCACUAGAAGGCGAUGAAGGACGUGACUAACUACGAUAUGCCUCGGUUAGCUGUAAGUAAGCUUACCCGGGGGUUUCCGAAUGGGGCAACCCGAUCUUAAUGAUCAUCAUCUUUUUGAAUUCAUAG